This 502-nucleotide ribosomal RNA is filed under the name uncultured bacterium. RNAcentral's name for it is "bacterial SSU rRNA". It matches the Rfam family "Bacterial small subunit ribosomal RNA", at positions 28 to 545 of the family's 1533-position model. The record is from RNAcentral.
GACGAACGCUGGCGGCACGCCUAACACAUGCAAGUCGAACGGUGAAGAGGAGCUUGCUCCUCGGAUCAGUGGCGGACGGGUGAGUAACACGUGAGCAACCUGCCUUUCGGAGGGGGACAACAGUUGGAAACGACUGCUAAUACCGCGUAACAUAGCGAAACCGCAUGAUUUUGCUAUCAAAGGAGCAAUCCGCCGAAAGAUGGGCUCGCGUCCGAUUAGAUAGUUGGUGAGGUAACGGCUCACCAAGUCGACGAUCGGUAGCCGGACUGAGAGGUUGAACGGCCACAUUGGGACUGAGAUACGGCCCAGACUCCUACGGGAGGCAGCAGUGGGGGAUAUUGCACAAUGGGGGAAACCCUGAUGCAGCGAUGCCGCGUGAGGGAAGAAGGUUUUCGGAUUGUAAACCUCUGUGGAGGGGGACGAUAAUGACGGUACCCCUUUAGGAAGCCACGGCUAACUACGUGCCAGCAGCCGCGGUAAUACGUAGGUGGCGAGCGUUGUC